AUUGAACGCUGGCGGCAGGCUUAACACAUGCAAGUCGAGCGGGGUGAUGGUGCUUGCACUAUCACUUAGCGGCGGACGGGUGAGUAAUGCUUAGGAAUCUGCCUAUUAGUGGGGGACAACAUCUCGAAAGGGAUGCUAAUACCGCAUACAUCCUACGGGAGAAAGCAAGGGAUCACUUGUGACCUUGCGCUAAUAGAUGAGCCUAAGUCGGAUUAGCUAGUUGGUGGGGUAAAGGCCUACCAAGGCGACGAUCUGUAGCGGGUCUGAGAGGAUGAUCCGCCACACUGGGACUGAGACACGGCCCAGACUCCUACGGGAGGCAGCAGUGGGGAAUAUUGGACAAUGGGGGGAACCCUGAUCCAGCCAUGCCGCGUGUGUGAAGAAGGCCUUAUGGUUGUAAAGCACUUUAAGCGAGGAGGAGGCUCUUUUGGUUAAUACCCAAGAUGAGUGGACGUUACUCGCAGAAUAAGCACCGGCUAACUCUGUGCCAGCCGCCGCAGUAA
Molecule: ribosomal RNA, 503 nt
Filed under: uncultured bacterium
Lineage: Bacteria
Description: partial 16S ribosomal RNA
Rfam family: Bacterial small subunit ribosomal RNA
Source: RNAcentral